Monodelphis domestica (gray short-tailed opossum) is the source of this 65-nucleotide microRNA precursor. The record is from Ensembl. Lineage: Eukaryota; Metazoa; Chordata; Mammalia; Didelphimorphia; Didelphidae.
GCAGGUCUGGUGCCCCGGGUUGCACUUGAGUUUAAAAGAUCAGUGCACCCCGAGUACCGCUGUUC